CCUACGGGAGGCAGCAGUAGGGAAUAUUGCUCAAUGGGGGAAACCCUGAAGCAGCAACGCCGCGUGGAGGAUGAAGGUUUUCGGAUUGUAAACUCCUUUUGUUAGAGAAGAGAAUGACGGUAUCUAACGAAUAAGCACCGGCUAACUCCGUGCCAGCAGCCGCGGUAAUACGGAUGGUGCAAGCGUUACUCGGAAUCACUGGGCGUAAAGGGCGCGUAGGCGGGAUAGCAAGUCAGAUGUGAAAUCCUAUGGCUUAACCGUAGAACUGCAUUUGAAACUGUUAUUCUAGAGUAUGGGAGAGGUAGGUGGAAUUCUUGGUGUAGAGGUGAAAUCCGUAGAGAUCAGGAGGAAUACUCAUUGCGAAGGCGACCUGCUAGAACAUAACUGACGCUGAUGCGCGAAAGCGUGGGGAGCAAACAGGAUUAGAUACCCUGGUAGUC
This 440-nucleotide ribosomal RNA is filed under the name uncultured bacterium. RNAcentral's name for it is "partial 16S ribosomal RNA". It matches the Rfam family "Bacterial small subunit ribosomal RNA", at positions 338 to 795 of the family's 1533-position model. The record is from RNAcentral.